Mirounga angustirostris (Northern elephant seal) is the source of this 2059-nucleotide RNA transcript. It is a transcript of the gene named zinc finger SWIM-type containing 7, with no coding region annotated. The transcript has 7 exons. NCBI's taxonomy places the organism in Eukaryota, Metazoa, Chordata, Mammalia, Carnivora, Phocidae. The record is from RefSeq and is a predicted model, not a curated record.
CGCGUGACGCGCGCCGACGUCACUUCGCCUCGCCCCGCCCCCGGCCGGCGGCGGGAAUUCUCCCUAGAGCCGUCGGAGCGUCGCACCUGCGGGGCUUUCGGGGGAGGCUGAAGGCCUGGGACGCCAUGGCCUUCGCCUUGCCCGGAGUCACGUUGCCCGCUGUCGUCGAGGAGCUCCUGAGCGAGAUGGCCGCGGCGGUGCAGGAGAACGCGCGAAUUCCUGAUGAGCAUCUGUCAUCGCUGAAGUUCAUCUUCGGCUCAUCCGCCAUCCAGGCCUUGGACCUCGUGGACCGACAGUCCAUCACCUUAAUCUCAUCGCCCAGUGGGAGGCGUGUUUACCAGGUACUGGGAAGUUCUGGUAAAACAUACACAUGCCUGGCUUCUUGUCAUUACUGUUCCUGUCCUGCCUUUGCCUUCUCGGUGCUGCGGAAGAGUGACAGCCUCCUGGUGAGGACAAGGGAGGCUCUUCCCACUCCAGUCAGAUUAGCAAAUUCUUGGCCCUUACCGCGUGGCUGCAAGCAUCUCUUGGCGGUUUAUCUUAGUCAGGUAAUGAGAACCUGUCGGCAGCUGAAGGUCUCUGACAAGCAACUGACUGACAUAUUAUUGGUGAAGAAGAAACAAGAAGCGCAAAAGGACAAGAGACUAUGAGUUGCAAGCCAGGAUGUGCGUAUACUUUGAAGGUCUACAGUUUCUCCUGAAAAAUCUGAGCCAGCCUCUGAGCCCCAUGGGUCAGUUUCCUGGAUGAAUCAAGCAUUUGACCCAAAGCCUAGUACCGUGUCCUGUGCGCUGUUAGAUUUUUUUUUUAAAGAUUUUAUUUAUUUAUUUGAAAGAGAGAGCACAAGCAGGGUGGAGGGGCAGAAGGAGAAGCAGACUCCCUGCCGAGCAGGGAGCCUGACGUGGGACUUGACCUCAGGACCCCGGGAUCACGACCUGAGCUGAAGGCAGACACUUAACCCACUGAGCCACCCAGGUGCCCAGUUAGAUUCUUAAGUUACUGAAGUACUAGUAAUUUUUAAGAGGUUGGAAUAGUAGACGAAACUGGUCAGAUGAAGUUUAGAUGAGUAAGUGUGACUUCCUUUCCUGGGAUCCAGGAGGUUCCCUGCAGCAACAGAAGAUCAGCGAGCGCAGAGAUGUGGCUGAAGAGCAUCCAGCAUAGAAAGACCUCGGGGUUCUUGCCUCAGUGAGCUGCAGCCAGUCUGUGGAGCUGGUGCCAGGAAAGCUCACACAGCCUGCAGCGUUAGAAAGGUGGUGUCGAAAACAAGGAAAGAGCGGUGGUCAUGCCCUGCGUGCACUGCGGGGCUUUAUAACAAGCCAAAGGAAGGAAAAUGAGCCUGCGUGCAGCCCAGGAGAACUUCUUACAACAUUAGACACUGUACAUGGAGGGAUCACAGGGGGUAGCUUCCCACCAGAGCUCAGAACAACAACCGGAAUCCACCUACAUCUGAACUCAAAACUGCUGGAUCCUGCAUGUGUGAAAAACUACUUUUAUGCUCAACUGACUUAAAGCAGGUGAGUCCAUCAGGGGAGCAGCUGCUCAUCACUUUGUGAACCCCCCCCAAAUACAGCUUUUUUCCCCGUUGGUUCAUUAUUUCAUUCAGAGCUCUUCCUUCGGACCAGGCCCUCUGUUAAUCACUGGAAACAUAAUCACAGCCCUCCUGGGUUGUAAAGCAAACGAGAGAGAAAGUAAACAAGUUGGGCGCCUGGGUGGCUCCGUCGUUAAGCAUCUGCCUUCGGCUCAGGUCAUGAUCCCAGGGUCCUGGGAUCGAGUCCUGCAUCGGACUCCCUGCUCAGCGGGAAGCCUGCUUCUCCCUCUCCCACUCCCCCUGCUUGUGUUCCCUCUCUUGCUGUCUCUCUCCCUCUGUUGAAAAAUAAAUAAAACCUUAAAAGAAAAAAAAAGAAACAAGUAAACACACAAACGUGUCAUUACAAAUCAGAAUGAGUUUAGCCACACCAAAAUGAAUAGGAUGCAGGUAAGAGAAAAACAGGAAGACUUUGGACAGAGGAUGCUGGAAAGGCCUCUUAAGCAAAGCUAGGUUCAGAAGGAGUAAAAAAUUACAAGA